CUGGUCUCUCUCUGGGUUCCCCCUGUACUAUGAGAUAGCUGGUCUCUCUCUAGGUUCCCCCUGUACUAUGAGAUAGCUGGUCUCUCUCUAGGUUCCCCCUGUACUAUGAGAUAGCUGGUCUCUCUCUAGGUUCCCCCUGUACUAUGAGAUAGCUGGUCUCUCUCUAGGUUCCCCCUGUACUAUGAGAUAGCUGGUCUCUCUCUCUAGGUUCCCCCUGUACUAUGAGAUAGCUGGUCUCUCUCUCUAGGUUCCCCCUGUACUAUGAGAUAGCUGGUCUCUAGGUUCCCCCUGUACUAUGAGAUAGCUGGUCUCUAGGUUCCCCCUGUACUAUGAGAUAGCUGGUCUCUCUCUAGGUUCCCCCUGUACUAUGAGAUAGCUGGUCUCUCUCUAGGUUCCCCCUGUACUAUGAGAUAGCUGGUCUCUCUCUAGGUUCCCCCUGUACUAUGAGAUAGCUGGUCUCUCUCUAGGUUCCCCCUGUACUAUGAGAUAGCUGGUCUCUCUCUCUAGGUUCCCCCUGUACUAUGAGAUAGCUGGUCUCUCUCUCUAGGUUCCCCCUGUACUAUGAGAUAGCUGGUCUCUAGGUUCCCCCUGUACUAUGAGAUAGCUGGUCUCUAGGUUCCCCCUGUACUAUGAGAUAGCUGGUCUCUCUCUAGGUUCCCCCUGUACUAUGAGAUAGCUGGUCUCUCUCUAGGUUCCCCCUGUACUAUGAGAUAGCUGGUCUCUCUCUAGGUUCCCCCUGUACUAUGAGAUAGCUGGUCUCUCUCUAGGUUCCCCCUGUACUAUGAGAUAGCUGGUCUCUCUCUAGGUUCCCCCUGUACUAUGAGAUAGCUGGUCUCUCUCUAGGUUCCCCCUGUACUAUGAGAUAGCUGGUCUCUCUCUAGGUUCCCCCUGUACUAUGAGAUAGCUGGUCUCUCUCUAGGUUCCCCCUGUACUAUGAGAUAGCUGGUCUCUCUCUAGGUUCCCCCUGUACUAUGAGAUAGCUGGUCUCUCUCUAGGUUCCCCCUGUACUAUGAGAUAGCUGGUCUCUCUCUAGGUUCCCCCUGUACUAUGAGAUAGCUGGUCUCUCUCUAGGUUCCCCCUGUACUAUGAGAUAGCUGGUCUCUCUCUAGGUUCCCCCUGUACUAUGAGAUAGCUGGUCUCUCUCUAGGUUCCCCCUGUACUAUGAGAUAGCUGGUCUCUCUCUAGGUUCCCCCUGUACUAUGAGAUAGCUGGUCUCUCUCUAGGUUCCCCCUGUACUAUGAGAUAGCUGGUCUCUCUCUAGGUUCCCCCUGUACUAUGAGAUAGCUGGUCUCUCUCUAGGUUCCCCCUGUACUAUGAGAUAGCUGGUCUCUCUCUAGGUUCCCCCUGUACUAUGAGAUAGCUGGUCUCUCUCUCUAGGUUCCCCCUGUACUAUGAGAUAGCUGGUCUCUCUCUCUAGGUUCCCCCUGUACUAUGAGAUAGCUGGUCUCUCUCUAGGUUCCCCCUGUACUAUGAGAUAGCUGGUCUCUCUCUAGGUUCCCCCUGUACUAUGAGAUAGCUGGUCUCUCUCUAGGUUCCCCCUGUACUAUGAGAUAGCUGGUCUGUUAUGGGUCAGUGUUAACACUGUGUUAAUAAUGUAAUGUGUUGUCUCUCUCUAGGUUCCCCCUGUACUAUGAGAUAGCUGGUCUCUCUCUAGGUUCCCCCUGUACUAUGAGAUAGCUGGUCUCUCUCUAGGUUCCCCCUGUACUAUGAGAUAGCUGGU
Salvelinus fontinalis (brook trout) is the source of this 1720-nucleotide long non-coding RNA. RefSeq lists it as uncharacterized. NCBI's taxonomy places the organism in Eukaryota, Metazoa, Chordata, Actinopteri, Salmoniformes, Salmonidae. The transcript is spliced from 3 exons. The record is from RefSeq and is a predicted model, not a curated record.